Molecule: ribosomal RNA, 252 nt
Filed under: uncultured bacterium
Lineage: Bacteria
Description: partial 16S ribosomal RNA
Rfam family: Bacterial small subunit ribosomal RNA
Source: RNAcentral
UACAGAGGCCUCGAGCGUUAGGCGGAAUCACUGGGCUUAAAGCGUGUGUAGGCGGACUUCUAAGUACCUUGUGAAAUCCCACGGCUCACCCGUGGAACUGCUUGGUAUACUGGUUGUCUUGAGCCUUCUAGGGGCGAGUGGAACAAAUGGUGGAGCGGUGAAAUGCGUAGAUAUCAUUUGGAACGCCAAUGGUGAAAACAACUCGCUGGGGAAGUGCUGACGCUGAGACACGAAAGCCAGGGAGCGAACGGG